RNAcentral lists this ribosomal RNA (93 nucleotides) under Klebsiella michiganensis. The record is from RNAcentral. Lineage: Bacteria; Pseudomonadati; Pseudomonadota; Gammaproteobacteria; Enterobacterales; Enterobacteriaceae.
CCUGGCGGCACUAGCGCGGUGGUCCCACCUGACCCCAUGCCGAACUCAGAAGUGAAACGCCGUAGCGCCUGUGAGAGUAGGGAACUGCCAGGC